AACGAACGCUGGCGGCAGGCCUAACACAUGCAAGUCGAGCGAGGACUUCGGUCCUAUCGGCGGACGUGUGAGGAACGCGUGGUAACUUGCCCUUUGCUUCGGAAUACCCCUGGUAAACUGGGAGUAAUACCGGUUGGGCCCUUUCGGGGAAAGACUUAUGGGCGAAGGAUCGGCCCGCGUUGGAUUAGGUAGUUGGUGGGGUAAUGGCCUACCAAGCCGACGAUCCAUGGCUGGUUUGUGAGGAUGAUCAUCCACGAUGGCACUGAGACACGGCCCAGAAUCCGACGGGAGGGAGCAGUGGGGAACACUAGACAAUGAGGCAAAACCUGACAUCGCCAUGCCGCGUGAGACAUGAAGGCCUUAGGAUUGUACAGCCCUUUCAGCUGAGAAGAGAAUGACGGUAACAGCAGAAGAAGCACCGGCUAACUACGUG
Molecule: ribosomal RNA, 433 nt
Filed under: uncultured bacterium
Lineage: Bacteria
Description: partial 16S ribosomal RNA
Rfam family: Bacterial small subunit ribosomal RNA
Source: RNAcentral